UGGGGAAUCUUCCGCAAUGGACGAAAGUCUGACGGAGCAACGCCGCGUGAGUGAAGAAGGUUUUCGGAUCGUAAAACUCUGUCUUUUGGGGCGAACGUGAGUAUGGUGAACAAUCAUAGUCAGUGACGGUACCAAAGGAGGAAGCCACGGCUAACUACGUGCCAGCAGCCGCGGUAAUCGUAGGUGGCAAGCGUUGUCCGGAAUUAUUGGGCGUAAAGAGCGCGUAGGCGGGAUAGUCAGUCUGUUGUAAAAGUGCGGGGCUCAACCCCGUGAUGGCAAUGGAAACAGCUAUUCUUGAGUGCAGGAGAGGAAAGUGGAAUUCCCAGUGUAGCGGUGAAAUGCGUAGAUAUUGGGAGGAACACCAGUGGCGAAGGCGACUUUCUGGACUGUGUCUGACGCUGAGGCGCGAAAGCCAGGGGAGCGAACGGGAUUAGAUACCCCGGUAGUCCUGGCCGUAAACGAUGGGUACUAGGUGUGGGGGGUAUCGACCCCUUCCGUGCCGGAGUUAACGC
RNAcentral lists this ribosomal RNA (512 nucleotides) under uncultured bacterium. Its description in RNAcentral is "partial 16S ribosomal RNA". It matches the Rfam family "Bacterial small subunit ribosomal RNA", at positions 355 to 858 of the family's 1533-position model. The record is from RNAcentral.